ACGAACGCUGGCGGCAGGCUUAACACAUGCAAGUCGAACGCUCGUAGCAAUACGGGAGUGGCGGACGGGUGAGUAACGCGUGGGAACGUGCCCUGAGGUACGGAAUAACUGCGGGAAACUGCAGCUAAUACCGUAUGAGCCCCGUGAGGGGGAAAGAUUUAUCGCCUUAGGAGCGGCCCGCGUCGGAUUAGCUAGUUGGUGGGGUAACGGCUUACCAAGGCUUCGAUCCGUAGCUGGUCUGAGAGGACGAUCAGCCACACUGGGACUGAGACACGGCCCAGACUCCUACGGGAGGCAGCAGUGGGGAAUCUUGCGCAAUGGGGGCAACCCUGACGCAGCCAUGCCGCGUGAAUGAUGAAGGCCUUAGGGUUGUAAAGUUCUUUUGCCCGUGACGAUGAUGACGGUAACGGGAGAAUAAGCUCCGGCUAACUUCGU
RNAcentral lists this ribosomal RNA (435 nucleotides) under uncultured bacterium. Its description in RNAcentral is "bacterial SSU rRNA". It matches the Rfam family "Bacterial small subunit ribosomal RNA", at positions 29 to 506 of the family's 1533-position model. The record is from RNAcentral.